CCAGACAAAUUUCAGCAGUGGGGUGGGGAGGUGGCCACGAGGCCCCGCCUUCUAGCCGAGGAAUUACUGUCCAUUGAUCACUGCUGGGAGACUGAGCAGACGUUUCCUUUAAGGCCCUGGCACGUGGACCAUGCUCCAGGGCAGGCCUCUCUCUGAAGAGUAUUUGAAGAGCACAAAGGGGCUGGAUGGGUUCUGAGACAGGCAGGUUAUUCUUCCACAUUUUGGAGCUCUAGUUUUGGCACAGAGAUAUGUAUGACUGGUGUGAUCGCACUCUCAUUUCUGGUGCCCAAAGAUGCCAGCAGAAGGUAUCAGAUCCCCUGGAACUGAAAUUACUGACAAGAGUUGCCAGGUGGAUGCUGGGAACCACACCUGGAUCCUGUGGAAGAGCAUUCAGUAUUCCAAACCAUCUUUCAGUCCUGUCGUUGGAACUGUCUGUUUGCUUUUUAAAGUACAGCAAUUUUAAAACAUGCCAGACAUCCAGGUCUUUCAUGUACACUGACUGUAUUUUUCAAUGUACUUUGAAAUACUUGGUGUUGUUGAAAUAAAAUAGUCAUUUUUCUAUCAUUUAACUUUUCUUUCUUGCUUUGAAACUUUUGAUCUUUUUUAAGGGUUUGUUUAAGCUAGAUCCACCUUACAGUAUCCCAACAGAACCAUAUGAUUGCUGCCAAGCACAUGCAGAAGUCAAGGUUUCCUCUGUUGAAGUGUAAGGAGGGGCCUCCUCUUGCUGUGGGCAGGGCAUAGCAUUCUGGCUUCUCAGGUGCUUUCUCCUGGCACUGUGAUGAUUCUCAGAUUGCUCACAACUAGAUGUCAGUUUAGGACACAUCUAAGGACAAGAAAUAAAUGAUCUGUAAGUAGGGUGUGAUGAAUGGCUCCACAUGAUCUUGACUAAUAUCUAUGGUGAUAUUUUAUUUUGUACUAAAAUGUUAUUAUGUUAAUAAAUAAAGUUG
Non-coding RNA from Peromyscus maniculatus bairdii (prairie deer mouse), 947 nucleotides. Lineage: Eukaryota; Metazoa; Chordata; Mammalia; Rodentia; Cricetidae. The record is from RefSeq and is a predicted model, not a curated record.